AAGCGUUACAGCUUUUUUAGAAUUUGGCUAGCAGGUUUUUUGACUUCUGUCGAGACUCUCCCCA
Molecule: small nuclear RNA, 64 nt
Filed under: Neotoma lepida (desert woodrat)
Lineage: Eukaryota; Metazoa; Chordata; Mammalia; Rodentia; Cricetidae
Description: U7 small nuclear RNA
Rfam family: U7 small nuclear RNA
About the family: Animal histone pre-mRNAs are spliced by a different mechanism than nuclear pre-mRNAs and self-splicing introns.
Source: Rfam by way of RNAcentral